Molecule: long non-coding RNA, 1184 nt
Organism: Pomacea canaliculata
Lineage: Eukaryota; Metazoa; Mollusca; Gastropoda; Architaenioglossa; Ampullariidae
Exons: 6
Source: RefSeq, a predicted model, not a curated record
GAACAACUGUAAUAAUCAUCAUGGCUUUGGUGUGGCUGCAAGCAGCAGUUGUUGACGGGUGCGGUUCGCAAAGUGGUGAUUGUAGUGUAAUAAAAGCAUGUUGCGAAGGUUUGACAUGCGUGAAACUGCCUAGGGACGAAUCUAAAGGUAAAUGCGCGGACAACGAUUGCCUCCGCAAGUAUUGGCCUGCAGGUGUCAAGGAAUGCUUGUAACGUGAAAGGAGAUUACCAAUCAGGGGCUCGAAUUGAUGAGGACUUCAGAGUGUUUCAGGGAUACAAGCUGUAAGGACAACGGUUAAAUGCCGAGUGGAUUGUCCUACAAAAUUCUCAACCUAUAAUUAUUGUUCCACUGAAGAUUGAUCAGUAAAGUGAAAGUUAAUCUUUCUAUCUGUGCUUUGUUUAUUGUCUCAACCAAUGUCCAUAGCAAGUAAAAUAAGUGUGAGUCAUAUGUGUGGGUGUUUUGAGAGCGGAGAACAGACUGAUUAACCCUAUGAUUUAUGUGUAUAUGUAAUAUUUAUAGACUACUGUAGGAAUAAAUGAAUGUAGAUGUACGUAAUGUAAAAAUGUUUGUCGGUGUUUCACAAUCACGUGGUGCGCUCAACAUUCACGAAAUGUUCCCGAUAUCAGCGCGGUUUUUAUUUUAUUUGUUUUUAGAAACAGCUAAAAGUGCAUCUUGCUCAAAGUACAAAAGAAAUGCUGCCUUAUCUCCAUAUCACCCUGUUGUGGCAAGAGGUUAAAAUUAGGAGUCAAUCUCCAAAAGAACACAUUAUCUGUUGUGAAGGCAAUGAAACGAAGAACAUCUAUAAUCAUCAUGGCUUUGGUGUGGCUGCAAGCAGCAGUUGUUGACGGGUGCAAUCCGGCAGGUGGCCAUUGUUCUUUGAUAAAACCAUGUUGCGAAGGUUUGUCAUGCUUUGAAAUUCCUGGGGACCAAUUUAGUUCUAGAUGUGCGGACAACAGUUGCAUCCACAAGAAAGGUUCUCGACGUCGCAAGGAAUGCAUAAUGCGUUCAUGACGUAACGUAAAAGAAGAUUAUCAAUCAUGGGCUAGACUUGAUGAGGACUUCAGAGUGUUUCCGGGAUACAAGCUGUAAGGACAACAGUUAAAUGCCGAGUGGAUUGUCCUAAAAAAUUCUCAAUCUAUAAUUAUUGUUGUACUGACAAUUGAUCAGUAAAGUGAAAGUUAAUC